This 458-nucleotide ribosomal RNA is filed under the name uncultured bacterium. RNAcentral describes it as "partial 16S ribosomal RNA". It matches the Rfam family "Bacterial small subunit ribosomal RNA", at positions 338 to 795 of the family's 1533-position model. The record is from RNAcentral.
CCUACGGGUGGCUGCAGUGGGGAAUAUUGCACAAUGGGGGAAACCCUGAUGCAGCGACGCCGCGUGAGUGAAGAAGCGUUUCGGCGCGUAAAGCUCUGUCAGCGGGGAAGAAACACGGUUCGCGAGAGCAGCGGACGGUACCCGACCAAGAAGCCCCGGCUAACUACGUGCCAGCCGCCGCGGUAAUACGUCGGGGACAAGCGUUAUCGGGAUUCCCUGGGGGUAAAGGGAGCGUAGACGGCGAGACAAGUCUGGAGUGAAAGGCCGGGGCCCAACCCCUGGACUGCUCUGGAAACUGCCUGGCUGGAGUACAGGAGAGGUAAGUGGAAUUCCUAGUGUAGCGGUGAAAUGCGUAGAUAUUAGGAGGAACACCAGUGGCGAAGGCGGCUUACUGGUCUGUAACUGACGCUGAGGUUCGAAAGCGUGGGUAGCAAACAGGAUUAGAUACCCGAGUAGUC